Molecule: long non-coding RNA, 246 nt
Organism: Hermetia illucens (black soldier fly)
Lineage: Eukaryota; Metazoa; Arthropoda; Insecta; Diptera; Stratiomyidae
Exons: 2
Source: RefSeq, a predicted model, not a curated record
UGUAUAUAUAUAUGCUAAUGGAGUUUACGGGUAGUGUUCAAUAAGUUGGACAUGUGGCUAUGUGCGGAUGGAAAAACGUGUAUAGAGAGUUGUUCAUAUGAGAUGAACACAAAACAUUUAACCUGAAGCACCGAACUUUCGGUAUUCCACCUUGCUUGUAUCUGUUGUAAAUUAACUUCGCCACAUUUGUGAAUAAUGAGGAGCCUAUAAGGUUGACUAUUAUCAAUACAGUGCUUUUCAGAUUAA